Molecule: long non-coding RNA, 266 nt
Organism: Bos taurus (domestic cattle)
Lineage: Eukaryota; Metazoa; Chordata; Mammalia; Artiodactyla; Bovidae
Source: Ensembl
GACAUCACGUGUCCCACCACCUCCCAGAAUCCUUGUUGCAUCCAUCUUGGCUGAGCAAUGAGAAGCCCGCUGCCAAGAUGUGAGGACACUCCAGUAGACCUAUGGAAAGAUCCAUUGAAAUAGGUGUUUGAGGGGCCGUCUGAGCUUUCUGGAGCAAUCAAAAGCAACUGGAAUAACAUGUUGCAUCACUGUGUACCUGAGGUAUGUAUUACACCUACUACCUGCAGACUUUGGCUGGAAAUUCUUCCCUGAGGAAUGUCACGAAG